This 590-nucleotide ribosomal RNA is filed under the name uncultured Burkholderia sp. RNAcentral's name for it is "bacterial SSU rRNA". It matches the Rfam family "Bacterial small subunit ribosomal RNA", at positions 418 to 1003 of the family's 1533-position model. Lineage: Bacteria; Pseudomonadati; Pseudomonadota; Betaproteobacteria; Burkholderiales; Burkholderiaceae. The record is from RNAcentral.
UCGGGUUGCAAAGCACUUUUGUCCGGGAAGAAAGCUUCGGGGUUAAUACCUCUGGAGGAUGACGGUACCGGAAGAAUAAGCACCGGCUAACUACGUGCCAGCAGCGCGGUAAUCGUAGGGUGCGAGCGUUAAUCGGAAUUACUGGGCGUAAAGCGUGCGCAGGCGGUGCUGUAAGACCGAUGUGAAAUCCCCGGGCUUAACCUGGGAACUGCAUUGGUGACUGCAGCGCUGGAGUAUGGCAGAGGGGGGUGGAAUUCCACGUGUAGCAGUGAAAUGCGUAGAGAUGUGGAGGAACACCGAUGGCGAAGGCAGCCCCCUGGGCCAAUACUGACGCUCAUGCACGAAAGCGUGGGGAGCAAACAGGAUUAGAUACCCUGGUAGUCCACGCCCUAAACGAUGUCAACUGGUUGUCGGGCCUUCAUUGGCUUGGUAACGUAGCUAACGCGUGAAGUUGACCGCCUGGGGAGUACGGUCGCAAGAUUAAAACUCAAAGGAAUUGACGGGGACCCGCACAAGCGGUGGAUGAUGUGGAUUAAUUCGAUGCAACGCGAAAAACCUUACCUACCCUUGACAUGUACGGAAGUCCGCCG